Molecule: ribosomal RNA, 200 nt
Filed under: uncultured Methylotenera sp.
Lineage: Bacteria; Pseudomonadati; Pseudomonadota; Betaproteobacteria; Nitrosomonadales; Methylophilaceae
Description: partial 16S ribosomal RNA
Rfam family: Bacterial small subunit ribosomal RNA
Source: RNAcentral
GAUUACUCCUACGGGAGGCAGCAGUGGGGAAUUUUGGACAAUGGGCGAAAGCCUGAUCCAGCCAUUCCGCGUGAGUGAAGAAGGCCUUCGGGUUGUAAAGCUCUUUCGCAAGGGAAGAAAACUUAUGAUCGAAUAAAUCAUGAGGUUGACGGUACCUUGAUAAGAAGCACCGGCUAACUACGUGCCAGCAGCCGCGGUAA